GGUGAGAUUUGAACUGAGUCUUGCAGAAAACUCAAUAACUUAAGAUAUGGAGGUUAAGGUGUAAAGCAUUCUAAGCUUAGGGCACAGCUCUAGUGAAAAGGCAAAGAGAUAGAGAAGCUUCCAUCAAAGAGGAAGAGUUUGGGGAUAAACAUAAAACAUUGUAGAGGGGAUAAAACAAUUUCAAAUUUAUUCUACAAACAUUGAUUAAGUGAUUAUUAUGGAGACCUUUGGAGAAGAAAAUUACGCCAAAUAAUGUGGAUGAGAAAGACAGAUUGCAAGUUUUUUGAGGAUGGGGCUGUGCUGGUUUUCAUUCUUCUAUGUACAACAUCCAACCCCUGGACAAAUCACUUAACCUUUCCUCAGCAUCCUCAAUUGAAGCUGUUGUUUGUCCUUCUUUCUAAAUAAAGACAUCAAAGAGAUGAUGCCUUGACAUGCAAAUGAACUGGAUUUGAAUGAAGGGCAUUUAUAAGUGCACUUUGAGGUAGUUUUUACUUUUUAAAAUGUUUUUUCUCCAUUUAUUUUUUAUUUUAUUUUUUACUUAAUCCUCAUUUAAGACUUAUAACAACUCUAUAAGGAAAGUACAGGAUGUUAUUAUUUCCAUUAAGUGAAGUUAUAUUUGUAAAGCUCUUAGAAAAGUGCCUGACAUAUAGCAGAUACUUAAUAAUGGCUUAUUUCCCCUUGCUUCUAUUUUACAAAGAAAGAAACUGAGGCAUAGAAAAUUAUUAUUAGCUUUAGAUGUGGUAUUUGAGAACAAAUAUUCCUGACUCUGUGGCUAACCUUCUUUCACAAAUGCAAGGUUGCUUCAUAAUUUGUCAGUCAUAAUUAAAUGAGUGUCGCCUGCCAGAAAACUAAAACUAGUUCUGUUUCACCUAGGUCACUGAUGAAGGAUGGUGGAAUGAAAAGACUAUUGAACUUUAAGUUGGAAGACAUGGAUUAAAAUCCUAUUAGCUUUAUGAUCCUGGAUAAAUUAGUUCCUGAUUCAAAGCCCAGUCCUCUGCCUUUUAUGCCUCUGUAUAAAGAACCACAUCAAUAAGCAAUUUAAGAUAGCUACAAUGUCCUCAUCUAAAAAAACAAUGAUAACCAAUAAACUUUGGCUGCAAAGCACUACCUGCAUCCAGAGAGAGAAUUAUGGAAACUGAUUGUAAUUGAAUAUUUAUAUUCACUUUUUUUUCCUGUUCUUUUUUUUCCACUUGUGGUUUUUUCCUUUCGUUGUGAUUUUUUUUCUCCCAACAUGAUUCAUCAGGAAUUGUGUUUUUAAAAAUUAACGUACGUGCAUAACUAUAAAAAAUAAAUCAAUAAAAUUCUAAAUAAAAAAAACAGGAAUAAUAGUACUUACCUCUUCCCUGGGUUGUUUCAAAGAUUCAAUGAGAUAAUAACUGUAAAAUAUUUAGCACAAUGCCUCAACACAAAGCAUUGUUUUGUUGUUGCUGUUUGUUCUUUGAAAAUUAGCUAUAUAAAUCCAGCAUCAGACAUUUACUAACUAUGGGCAUCUGGGCAAAUCAUUUCACCUUUUCUCAUCAUCCUCAACUGAUGCUGUUGUUUGUCCUUCCUUCUUGAAGAGAACAUCAGAGAGGUCACCAUGACAAGAAAAUGAAACAUAUUUGAGUGAGGGAAGCCUGUGCAAGGUCACCUGCCUCACUUUCUCUUCCAGAACCACAUGGAUCCAGCAGCAAGAUAUAGAUGAGAUGACUGGAGAUGGGCCUGCAUGCAGUGGGAGACCUUGAUCUUUUUAAGGGUCAUCAGGGUCUAGUAACAAGAAAAAGUCAGGAUGACUGGAGGUGGCUCCCCACUAAAAAGUACAAAGAAGCAGAAGAUAACCAAAUAGAACUAACACUAUAUAAAGGAGAUCCAUGAUGGCUGCAGUACACAUGUGAGUUAGAGAUCACUAAUGAAGGCAUGAAAAAGAAUCUCAAACAGACCUUCUAGUGAUUCCAAAAAGAUGCCCAAGGAAACAUCAGUGACCAACAACCUACGUGUCUUCACUCCAGUUUAUAUGCAAUCUUCAUGAGCAUCAUCUCUACACAAAUCAAGGGCAUCCUUAAUGAGAAUACUAUUAGGGAACAAAGAGGCAUUAAAUUGUGGGUUCCUUGAAAAGAAGAACUGGCUUUUGCCUUUCUCAGUAUUCCCAGCACCUAAUACAGUGCCUGACAUAUAGAUGCUUAAUAAAUGCUGACGUUUAACUGUAGAUACCAUCUUUAUCCUGCCAUGAUUGAUUAAAAGAGAUAAGAUACUAUGAUUAUUGUUUAGUUUAUUGACUAAAAGAGUUUAUUAGUUUAUUAUGUGUAUUAUGUGUAAAAAAAAUUUUGAAGAAGUAGAGCAAAAUGCCAUCUUAUAAGCUUUUUUCUACAAGAUAUAUUUUUCCCCAUCAAACAAUCAAUCAUCAAUCCACAAACAUUCAGUAAUUACUUACUGUGUGCCGGGGAUUGUGUAAAGUACUGGGAAUAAAAAAAAGCAAAAAUACAA
Molecule: long non-coding RNA, 2463 nt
Organism: Antechinus flavipes (yellow-footed antechinus)
Lineage: Eukaryota; Metazoa; Chordata; Mammalia; Dasyuromorphia; Dasyuridae
Exons: 2
Source: RefSeq, a predicted model, not a curated record